CAAAUGGUAGCACUAAUAUAGCAGCUCCCCACCCCCAGCAAACCUCCCUGAACGCCACGACCUGUCACCACAGAAAAUGUCAGAAUUUGCCAUAUCCCGUCCCCUGGGACCUACUUCGAUGACAUCCGUUACCAAAAUUCAUUAUCAUGGCCGCCGCGACACUGACCUCAUUUAAAGCAUCUCUCCAUCAUACCUCUUGCGUCUCAUCAGACCUACUGCUAUGAUAUCAUAAAUGAAAAUAUAAACAGGCUAUUGAUCGGUGAUAUUGACCUGUUUUAUACGAUGCUAUCAGGUAGUGCAGAUGGAAAUGGUUGUUUAUGGGAAGAAAUGUAAUGUUAAACUGAAUUAGGACUAUCCCAUUACCCUGUACGGAUGAGUCAAUAAAUGUGUUUAUACUGCGAGGCACUUUAUCUGCACAUACUAGUUUCAUAUUAAGAACUGCCUAACUAGAACUUAAUUGCUACAUACACUUCAUAAGGAUGACCCUGUUUGGGCAUAUUAUUAAUAAUACGGAGAUUUACAGUGAGUAGGUGAGGAAAAAGCUACAGAAUAUCAAAGAGAACAAAUGUAUACUGUAUAAAUACCUAUGUUAGGCAAGAAAUAUUUUUUUUUUCAGAUUUCAUACUUUGCCUAACCCCGCGUAGACAUUGCUGAAAAUGCCCAAACACUGACCGUAAUCUUUAGUUGGCUUGAAACUGCAAAGCCAUUUAGAGACGAAAAGGACACUAAGGGAUUAUUCAGUAAACUCCAAAAAUGCGGUAAAAUAAAAAAAAUUAUGAAUAAGCCCCUAAACCUGUAUUAUAGAAUACACAUCGAUAGAAAGCGCAUUCUCAAAAAGCAAUGUUUGGUGAAAAUUAAAUGAACACUCAAAUAUAGUUCUUUUUACGUUACAACGUGCUUGUUUUAAUUUAGAUAGCUCCCCCUUGGAGAAAUCACCUAAACUUGCAAUUACAAAACAAUUGGGGACCUAUGGCACAUACGUGGUUUUCACUACCAUCCACCAAACCACAAGACAGGAUUUAUACAGAUAUCAUAACCCAGACACGCAUAUCCAAAUAUAUACCCUCUUUUAGGGUCUUUAAAAGGAAGAAAAACACAGUUAAUUCAUUUUCCAGUUCAACGUUUCUGUGAAAGAUUGAACGGACAAAUGUCAUCAAAUAUUAACGUCUCAUUUUUUAAAUGUUUAUUGCACUUUUGAAACUUGGUUAUAUUUUUUAUUGGUG
Non-coding RNA from Pelobates cultripes (western spadefoot toad), 1223 nucleotides. Lineage: Eukaryota; Metazoa; Chordata; Amphibia; Anura; Pelobatidae. The record is from the annotation of a GenBank genome assembly.